This 253-nucleotide ribosomal RNA is filed under the name uncultured bacterium. Its description in RNAcentral is "partial 16S ribosomal RNA". It matches the Rfam family "Bacterial small subunit ribosomal RNA", at positions 524 to 776 of the family's 1533-position model. The record is from RNAcentral.
UACGAAGGUCCCAAGCGUUAUUCGGAAUCACUGGGCGUAAAGGGAGCGUAGGCGGCGUGGUAAGUCAGAUGUGAAAUCCCGGGGCUCAACCCCGGAACUGCAUCCGAUACUGCCAUGCUAGAGGAUUGGAGAGGUAGCUGGAAUUCUUGGUGUAGCAGUGAAAUGCGUAGAGAUCAAGAGGAACACUCGUGGCGAAAGCGAGCUACUGGACAAUUCCUGACGCUGAGGCUCGAAGGCUAGGGUAGCGAAAGGG